RNAcentral lists this ribosomal RNA (630 nucleotides) under uncultured crenarchaeote. RNAcentral describes it as "bacterial SSU rRNA". It matches the Rfam family "Archaeal small subunit ribosomal RNA", at positions 1 to 638 of the family's 1478-position model. Lineage: Archaea; Thermoproteati; Thermoproteota. The record is from RNAcentral.
UUCCGGUUGAUCCUGCCGGACCUGACUGCUAUCGGAUUGAUACUAAGCCAUGCGAGUCUUUGUAGUAAUACAAGGCAGACGGCUCAGUAACACGUAGUCAACCUACCCUAUGGACGAGAAUAAUCUCGGGAAACUGAGCAUAAUUCUUGAUAGAUCAUAAUGCCUGGAAUGGUUUAUGGUUAAAAUGAUUCGUCGCCAUAGGAUGGGACUGCGGCCUAUCAGCUUGUUGGUGAGGUAAUGGCCCACCAAGGCGAUUACAGGUACGGGCUCUGAGAGGAGAAGCCCGGAGAUGGGUACUGAGACACGGACCCAGGCCCUAUGGGGCGCAGCAGGCGAGAAAACUUUGCAAUGUGCGAAAGCACGACAAGGUUAAUCCGAGUGAUUUCUGCUAAAGAAAUCUUUUGUCAGUCGUAAAACCACUGGCGAAUAAGGGGUGGGCAAGUUCUGGUGCCAGCCGCCGCGGUAAAACCAGCACCUCAAGUGGUCAGGAUGAUUAUUGGGCCUAAAGCAUCCGUAGCCGGCUUUGUAAGUUUUCGGUUAAAUCCAUGUGCUCAACGCAUGGGCUGCCGAAAAUACUGCAUGGCUAGGGAGUGGGAGAGGUAGACGGUACUCAGUAGGAAGGGGUAAAAU